This 500-nucleotide ribosomal RNA is filed under the name uncultured bacterium. RNAcentral describes it as "partial 16S ribosomal RNA". It matches the Rfam family "Bacterial small subunit ribosomal RNA", at positions 30 to 523 of the family's 1533-position model. The record is from RNAcentral.
AUUGAACGCUGGCGGAAUGCUUUACACAUGCAAGUCGAACGGCAGCACGGACUUCGGUCUGGUGGCGAGUGGCGAACGGGUGAGUAAUAUAUCGGAACGUAUCCAAUAAUGGGGGAUAACUAAUCGAAAGGUUGGCUAAUACCGCAUACGUCCUACGGGAGAAAGCUAGGGACCUUCGGGCCUGGCGUUAAUGGAGCGGCCGAUAUCGGAUUAGCUAGUUGGUGAGGUAAAGGCUCACCAAGGCGACGAUCGGUAGCUGGUCUGAGAGGACGACCAGCCACACUGGAACUGGGACACGGUCCAGACUCCUACGGGAGGCAGCAGUGGGGAAUUUUGGACAAUGGGCGAAAGCCUGAUCCAGCCAUUCCGCGUGAGUGAAGAAGGCCUUCGGGUUGUAAAGCUCUUUCGCAAGAGAAGAAAACUUACCCUCUAACAUAGGGUGAGGUUGACGGUAUCUUGAUAAGAAGCACCGGCUAACUACGUGCCAGCCGCCGCCGUAA